GGAACGUGCGAGUAAUGGGGGAUAACGCAGCGAAAGUUGUGCUAUACCGCAUACGCCCCGAGGGGGAAAGCAGGGGAUCUUCGGACCUUGCGUUAUUCGAGCGGCCGACGUCUGAUUAGCUAGUUGGUGGGGUAAAGGCCUACCAAGGCGACGAUCAGUAGCGGGUCUGAGAGGAUGAUCCGCCACACUGGGACUGAGACACGGCCCAGACUCCUACGGGAGGCAGCAGUGGGGAAUUUUGGACAAUGGGGGCAACCCUGAUCCAGCCAUUCCGCGUGAGUGAAGAAGGCCUUCGGGUUGUAAAGCUCUUUCGGCAGGAACGAAACGGCGGGCUCUAACAUAGCCUGUUAAUGACGGUACCUGAAGAAGAAGCACCGGCUAACUACGUGCCAGCAGCCGCGGUAAUACGUAGGGUGCGAGCGUUAAUCGGAAUUACUGGGCGUAAAGCGUGCGCAGGCGGAUUGUUAAGCAAGACGUGAAAUCCCCGGGCUUAACCUGGGAAUGGCGUUUUGAACUGGCAGUCUAGAGUGCGUCAGAGGGGGGUGGAAUUCCACGUGUAGCAGUGAAAUGCGUAGAGAUGUGGAGGAACACCGAUGGCGAAGGCAGCCCCCUGGGAUGACACUGACGCUCAUGUACGAAAGCGUGGGUAGCAAACAGGAUUAGAUACCCUGGUAGUCCACGCCCUAAACGAUGUCAACUGGUUGUUGGGGGAGUGAAAUCCCUUAGUAACGAAGCUAACGCGUGAAGUUGACCGCCUGGGGAGUACGGUCGCAAGAUUAAAACUCAAAGGAAUUGACGGGGACCCGCACAAGCGGUGGAUGAUGUGGAUUAAUUCGAUGCAACGCGAAAAACCUUACCUACCCUUGACAUGUC
This 873-nucleotide ribosomal RNA is filed under the name uncultured Thiobacillus sp. RNAcentral describes it as "bacterial SSU rRNA". It matches the Rfam family "Bacterial small subunit ribosomal RNA", at positions 121 to 990 of the family's 1533-position model. Lineage: Bacteria; Pseudomonadati; Pseudomonadota; Betaproteobacteria; Nitrosomonadales; Thiobacillaceae. The record is from RNAcentral.